GACGAACGCUGGCGGCGUGCCUAAUACAUGCAAGUAGAACGCUGAAGGAGGAGCUUGCUCUUCUGGAUGAGUUGCGAACGGGUGAGUAACGCGUAGGUAACCUGCCUGGUAGCGGGGGAUAACUAUUGGAAACGAUAGCUAAUACCGCAUAACAGUAGAUGUUGCAUGACAUUUGCUUAAAAGGUGCAAUUGCACCACUACCAGAUGGACCUGCGUUGUAUUAGCUAGUUGGUGGGGUAACGGCUCACCAAGGCGACGAUACAUAGCCGACCUGAGAGGGUGAUCGGCCACACUGGGACUGAGACACGGCCCAGACUCCUACGGGAGGCAGCAGUAGGGAAUCUUCGGCAAUGGACGGAAGUCUGACCGAGCAACGCCGCGUGAGUGAAGAAGGUUGUCGGAUCGUAAAGCUCUGUUGUAAGAGAAGAACGAGUGUGAGAGUGGAAAGUUCACACUGUGACGGUAUCUGACCAGAAAGGGACGGCUAACUACGUG
Molecule: ribosomal RNA, 495 nt
Filed under: uncultured bacterium
Lineage: Bacteria
Description: partial 16S ribosomal RNA
Rfam family: Bacterial small subunit ribosomal RNA
Source: RNAcentral